RNAcentral lists this RNase P RNA (373 nucleotides) under Salmonella enterica subsp. enterica serovar Muenchen. Its description in RNAcentral is "RNase P RNA component class A". It matches the Rfam family "Bacterial RNase P class A". Rfam says of the family: Ribonuclease P (RNase P) is a ubiquitous endoribonuclease, found in archaea, bacteria and eukarya as well as chloroplasts and mitochondria. Its best characterised activity is the generation of mature 5'-ends of tRNAs by cleaving the 5'-leader elements of precursor-tRNAs. Lineage: Bacteria; Pseudomonadati; Pseudomonadota; Gammaproteobacteria; Enterobacterales; Enterobacteriaceae. The record is from RNAcentral. RNAcentral also lists the same sequence under 34 other names.
GAAGCUGACCAGACAGUCGCCGCUUCGUCGUCGUCCUUUCGGGGAGACGGGCGGAGGGGAGGAAAGUCCGGGCUCCAUAGGGCAGGGUGCCAGGUAACGCCUGGGGGGGAAACCCACGACCAGUGCAACAGAGAGCAAACCGCCGAUGGCCCACGUAAGUGGGAUCAGGUAAGGGUGAAAGGGUGCGGUAAGAGCGCACCGCGCGGCUGGUAACAGUCCGUGGCACGGUAAACUCCACCCGGAGCAAGGCCAAAUAGGGGUUCAUAAGGUACGGCCCGUACUGAACCCGGGUAGGCUGCUUGAGCCAGUGAGCGAUUGCUGGCCUAGAUGAAUGACUGUCCACGACAGAACCCGGCUUAUCGGUCAGUUUCAC